Molecule: ribosomal RNA, 326 nt
Filed under: uncultured bacterium
Lineage: Bacteria
Description: bacterial SSU rRNA
Rfam family: Bacterial small subunit ribosomal RNA
Source: RNAcentral
GACGAACGCUGGCGGCGUGCUUAACACAUGCAAGUCGAGCGGUAAGGCCCUUUCGGGGGUACACGAGCGGCGAACGGGUGAGUAACACGUGGGUGACCCGCCCUCAGCUCUGGGAUAAGCCUGGGAAAACCGGGUCUAAUACCGGAUAUGACUCCAUGACGCAUGUUGUGGGGUGAAAGCCUUGUGCGGCUGAGGAUGGGCCCGCGGCCUAUCAGCUUGUUGGUGGGGUGANGGCCUACCAAGGCGACGACGGGUAGCCGGCCUGAGAGGGCGACCGGCCACACUGGGACUGAGACACGGCCCAGACUCCUACGGGAGGCAGCAGU